AGCGAACGCUGGCGGCGUGCCUAACACAUGCAAGUCGAACGUGAGAAGGGAAACCUGAGUAAAGUGGCGUACGGGUGAGUAACGCGUAGGUAAUCUACCCCAGAAUCUGGAAUAACCUGCCGAAAGGCGGGCUAAUACUGGAUAGAGCGAGGGAACUCGUAAGAGAGUUUUUCGGGAAAGGGAGCCCGCAAGGGCCUUCGUUCUGGGAUGAGCCUGCGUCUCAUUAGCUAGUUGGUAAGGUAACGGCUUACCAAGGCGAUGAUGAGUAGCUGGUCUGAGAGGAUGAUCAGCCACACUGGAACUGAAACACGGUCCAGACUCCUACGGGAGGCAGCAGUGGGGAAUCUUGCGCAAUGGACGAAAGUCUGACGCAGCCACGCCGCGUGAGUGAAGAAGGCCUUCGGGUUGUAAAGCUCUGUCGGAUGGGACGAACAUCUUCAUAGUGAAUAGCUAUGAGGACUGACGGUACCAUCAAAGGAAGCACCGGCUAACUCCGUG
RNAcentral lists this ribosomal RNA (498 nucleotides) under uncultured bacterium. RNAcentral's name for it is "partial 16S ribosomal RNA". It matches the Rfam family "Bacterial small subunit ribosomal RNA", at positions 29 to 507 of the family's 1533-position model. The record is from RNAcentral.